Clostridium grantii DSM 8605 is the source of this 119-nucleotide regulatory RNA element. It matches the Rfam family "Ribosomal protein L20 leader". From Rfam's summary of the family: This family is a putative r-protein leader autoregulatory structure found in B. subtilis and other low-GC Gram-positive bacteria. The record is from Rfam. NCBI's taxonomy places the organism in Bacteria, Bacillati, Bacillota, Clostridia, Eubacteriales, Clostridiaceae.
AGAAUCAAGAAGAAACAGAGCUGUUUCUCACCUUACAGCAUUGCUAGUGAGGUUGCAUGUAUGGAUUUAAUUAACCAUGUUAUGUAUGGAACGGCUUACGUCGUUCCUUUUUUAUUUAU